This 468-nucleotide ribosomal RNA is filed under the name uncultured bacterium. RNAcentral's name for it is "partial 16S ribosomal RNA". It matches the Rfam family "Bacterial small subunit ribosomal RNA", at positions 28 to 507 of the family's 1533-position model. The record is from RNAcentral.
GACGAACGCUGGCGGCGUGCUUAACACAUGCCAGUCGAACGGAAAGGCCCUGCUUUUGUGGGGUGCUCGAGUGGCGAACGGGUGAGUAACACGUGAGUAACCUGCCCUUGACUUUGGGAUAACUUCAGGAAACUGGGGCUAAUACCGGAUAGGAGCUCCUGCUGCAUGGUGGGGGUUGGAAAGUUUCGGCGGUUGGGGAUGGACUCGCGGCUUAUCAGCUUGUUGGGGGGGUAGUGGCUUACCAAGGCUUUGACGGGUAGCCGGCCUGAGAGGGUGACCGGCCACAUUGGGACUGAGAUACGGCCCAGACUCCUACGGGGGGCAGCGGUGGGGAUUAUUGCACAAUGGGCGGAAGCCUGAUGCAGCAACGCCGCGUGCGGGAUGACGGCCUUCGGGUUGUAAACCGCUUUCGCCUGUGACGAAGCGUGAGUGACGGUAAUGGGUAAAGAAGCACCGGCUAACUACGUG